UCGCUUCUUCCGACUUACAAAUGCGUCAGCCAUCUCAUAAGUUAAAUGAAUCGGAAGUAAACAAAACAGCCCGUCCAAGAUUCUGCGAAUGAAUACGUAUUUCAGCGGGAGACUGAUGGCUUUUAUAAGUCGUCAGAGCGGACCAGAACAAUUGAAUUCAGCACCACAUCCUAAUAAGAAGUGAGAAUACGGUGAGAUCUCGGUAAACCUGCUUCCAAACCAUGAUUAAAUGCUAUUUUUAGCAAAGGGGGUGGGGGGAGAGGAAAAGGCGGGAGCAUGUGCAUGUGUGGAAGCGGGUGACGCAAGAAUUCCGAAGCGUGGCGCAAGGCGAUGGCCCGAAGGCGGGGGUGGCUGAAGGCUUGGCGAAAGGGAUUCCUUGACUUCGGGCCAAAAACGGCGAGGGCGGCCUGCUUUCCCGAAAGCCUUGGGCCAAGAGCCAAAGAAACCUGAAGGAGGAGCUCUGCCGUUGUGCACAGACCCAGCGCUGACUCUACGGGAGGGGAGGGACACCCACAGCGCCUGGCAAACGUGGAGCUGCGAUCAGCUGCUUCUCUUUCUAGUUUUCAUUUCCCUUCCCUGGAAAUCCUUCCCCUUCUUAAAUCCACUAGUUGCCAAGUUCAGAUCCCCUUCGAUUCAGUUAAGCGAUUUUCACAGGUGAUGCUUAAAUCACUCGUGAUUGGCUACUACAAGUCUUUCUCUAGUCCUAACCAGCGUGGACUAAUCAAGCUACAGUACUGCUGGCUCUUAGGGCAACUUACAGCUCAGUGAAGGAAGACAGUCACAGCCCUCAAGUUUACAAGUAUUAAAAAUUACAAAAAAAGGAAGAGAAAAAUACCUAAGCAGCAAUUCUUAACAUUAUACAGUAUGCAGUUGUAACGCAGAGGAUAUGGCCAUUACACAGUCAGACACAGUUCCUCUUCUUAUAAUGACUUGCCAGAGCAGAAACACACUGAAAGUAUGAGUCUUUCAGCCAUCACCAGUGAAGUGGAAGCCCUUGCUCAAGCAGAAAAGGAUGCAGAGGAAGCAGAGGGAGAUUUAGAUUUGGACAUCACCACAUGAACAGAUGGGGAUCCAUAACAAGAACUCAGACAAUGUGACCUAAUAAAACUAUACGAGGCAAGAUGGGGAUCCA
RNAcentral lists this long non-coding RNA (1132 nucleotides) under Pogona vitticeps (central bearded dragon). Its description in RNAcentral is "lncRNA (ENSPVIG00000008354.1)". Lineage: Eukaryota; Metazoa; Chordata; Lepidosauria; Squamata; Agamidae. The record is from RNAcentral.